This 490-nucleotide ribosomal RNA is filed under the name uncultured bacterium. RNAcentral describes it as "partial 16S ribosomal RNA". It matches the Rfam family "Bacterial small subunit ribosomal RNA", at positions 30 to 507 of the family's 1533-position model. The record is from RNAcentral.
AUUGAACGCUGGCGGCAGGCCUAACACAUGCAAGUCGAAUGGUAACAGGAAACAGCUUGCUGUUUCGCUGACGAGUGGCGGACGGGUGAGUAAUGUCUGGGAAACUGCCUGAUGGAGGGGGAUAACUACUGGAAACGGUAGCUAAUACCGCAUAACGUCGCAAGACCAAAGAGGGGGACCUUCGGGCCUCUUGCCCUCAGAUGUGCCCAGAUGGGAUUAGCUAGUAGGUGGGGUAACGGCUCACCUAGGCGACGAUCCCUAGCUGGUCUGAGAGGAUGACCAGCCACACUGGAACUGAGACACGGUCCAGACCCCUACGGGAGGCAGCAGUGGGGAAUAUUGCACAAUGGGCGCAAGCCUGAUGCAGCCAUGCCGCGUGUAUGAAGAAGGCCUUCGGGUUGUAAAGUACUUUCAGCGGGGAGGAAGGGAGUAAAGUUAAUACCUUUGCUCAUUGACGUUACCCGCAGAAGAAGCACCGGCUAACUCCGUG